GAGUUUGAUCUUGGCUCAGGAUGAACGCUGGCGGCGUGCUUAACACAUGCAAGUCGAGCGAAGCAGUUAAGUUGAUUUCUUCGGAUUGAUUCUUGACUGACUGAGCGGCGGACGGGUGAGUAACGCGUGGGUGACCUGCCCCAUACCGGGGGAUAACAGCUGGAAACGGCUGCUAAUACCGCAUAAGCGCACAGAGCUGCAUGGCUCAGUGUGAAAAACUCCGGUGGUAUGGGAUGGGCCCGCGUCUGAUUAGGCAGUUGGCGGGGUAACGGCCCACCAAACCGACGAUCAGUAGCCGGCCUGAGAGGUUGAACGGCCACAUUGGGACUGAGACACGGCCCAGACUCCUACGGGAGCAGCAGUGGGGAAUAUUGCGCAAUGGGGGCAACCUGACGCAGCAACGCCGCGUGAUUGAUGAA
RNAcentral lists this ribosomal RNA (419 nucleotides) under uncultured bacterium. RNAcentral's name for it is "bacterial SSU rRNA". It matches the Rfam family "Bacterial small subunit ribosomal RNA", at positions 9 to 412 of the family's 1533-position model. The record is from RNAcentral.